GUGGAUUAGUGGCGAACGGGUGAGUAACACGUGGGCAAUCUGCCCUUCACUCUGGGACAAGCCCUGGAAAUGGGGUCUAAUACCGGAUAAUACCUUCUCCUGCAUGGGAGGGGGUUGAAAGCUCCGGCGGUGAAGGAUGAGCCCGCGGCCUAUCAGCUUGUUGGUGGGGUGAUGGCCUACCAAGGCGACGACGGGUAGCCGGCCUGAGAGGGCGACCGGCCACACUGGGACUGAGACACGGCCCAGACUCCUACGGGAGGCAGCAGUGGGGAAUAUUGCACAAUGGGCGAAAGCCUGAUGCAGCGACGCCGCGUGAGGGAUGACGGCCUUCGGGUUGUAAACCUCUUUCAGCAGGGAAGAAGCGCAAGUGACGGUACCUGCAGAAGAAGCACCGGCUAACUACGUGCCAGCAGCCGCGGUAAUACGUAGGGUGCGAGCGUUGUCCGGAAUUAUUGGGCGUAAAGAGCUCGUAGGCGGCUUGUCACGUCGGUUGUGAAAGCCCGGGGCUUAACCCCGGGUCUGCAGUCGAUACGGGCAGGCUAGAGUGUGGUAGGGGAGAUCGGAAUUCCUGGUGUAGCGGUGAAAUGCGCAGAUAUCAGGAGGAACACCGGUGGCGAAGGCGGAUCUCUGGGCCAUUACUGACGCUGAGGAGCGAAAGCGUGGGGAGCGAACAGGAUUAGAUACCCUGGUAGUCCACGCCGUAAACGUUGGGAACUAGGUGUUGGCGACAUUCCACGUCGUCGGUGCC
Molecule: ribosomal RNA, 748 nt
Filed under: Streptomyces sp. 560(2010)
Lineage: Bacteria; Bacillati; Actinomycetota; Actinomycetes; Kitasatosporales; Streptomycetaceae
Description: bacterial SSU rRNA
Rfam family: Bacterial small subunit ribosomal RNA
Source: RNAcentral